Molecule: non-coding RNA, 1241 nt
Organism: Misgurnus anguillicaudatus (oriental weatherfish)
Lineage: Eukaryota; Metazoa; Chordata; Actinopteri; Cypriniformes; Cobitidae
Source: RefSeq, a predicted model, not a curated record
CACGUUUAGCCCAGAAAUAACCAUGAAUUUAAUUACAUGUUGUUUUUCCAAAAUGAUUUGUUAGAUGUAUCAUAUUUAAUCAUGUAAACAAAGUUCAAAGCGAUUAAGGUAUUUUGUUUCAUUUCUUUAAAGUGUUUAUGCACCGUCUGUACUUAGCCACUAUUUAGCUUAUAAAUAGACCGACUACGAAUAACCCACGUUUAGCCCAGAAAUAACCAUUAAUUUAUUUACAUGUGGUUUUUGCCAAAUAACUUGUGAGAUGUAUGGUAUUUCAUUGUGUAAGCAAAGUUAGCAGCUAUAACAAGGUUUGUUUAAUUUCUUUAAAGUGUUUUAUGCACCGUCGUACAUAGCCACUAUUUAGCUCAUAAAUAGACCGACUACGAACAAACCAUGUUUAGCCCAGAAUAACCUUGAAUUUAAUAAAAUUUUGUUUUUGCCAAAAUAACUUGCAAGAUGUAUGAUAUUUCAUCAGGCAUGCAAAGACACCAGUGAAUUCAAGAUGUUUGGUUUUAUUUAUCUUAUCUGAAUAUCUGCUGUCACGCAUAACAUUCAUUAUUGAUAAACAAAAUCCAGUUACAACUCCGAACCGCUAGAUGGCAGCUGCAGUACACAAACACGAGGCCAAAUCUCGCGAGAAAGAUUUCCGCUGUUUGAAAAUCAACAACACCAGCGAGCAGCAGCCAGGAGGAAAGCAAUCUUCCACACUCGUUUGAUCUUGUGUCAAAGCUGUGCUAAACUGGAGGGAGAAACUUGAGAGACCGUGCCGGAAGAAUGCUGGGCAGAGUUCACUAAAAUUCAUUAAUUUCAAAGUUCAACAUGAAUGGUGGUGGUCCACUGCAGAAACAAGCAUUUGAAAAAACACCAGUUCUCAGUUAUUAAAGAUGCUGUGUUGAACAACUUCCCAGCAGCAACAGAACUGGAAGUGAAGGAUGCAAUGGGGGCAUUUCAAACAGGCACCAGGGAGGACGUGGUGUAUAGACAUUAGUCCAAUUAAUAAGUUGAAGUGAACUGAAGAUAGUUUGUUAAUGUUUAGAUGUUAUUUCAUUUUUAAAAAAUUUUUAAUAUUUUGUUAUUUAUGCUUUUAUUUUGUUACUGUUUUUAUUCUUUUUGUUAAAAGUAGUUUUUCUUCAUUUUGUCUUUUCUGAAUUUCUAUUGUAUUAGCAAUAUUUUUUGUAAUAAAUUGCAUGAUUACAUGUUUAUGAGAACCUUUUUUAAUGGAUUAAAAAGAAUUCUUUAGCCAU